UACGGAGGGGGCGAGCGUUAUUCGGAAUUAUUGGGCGUAAAGGGCGCGUAGGCGGCGCGAUAAGUCAAAGGUGAAAUCCCUCGGCUCAACUGAGGAACUGCCUUUGAAACUGUCGUGCUUGAGGCCGGGAGGGGGUAGCGGAAUUCCCAGUGUAGCGGUGAAAUUCGUAGAUAUCGGGAGGAACACCAGUGGCGAAGGCGGCGAGCUGGGAAGAUACUGACGCUGAGGUGCGAAAGCGUGGGGAGCAAACAGG
This 253-nucleotide ribosomal RNA is filed under the name uncultured bacterium. Its description in RNAcentral is "partial 16S ribosomal RNA". It matches the Rfam family "Bacterial small subunit ribosomal RNA", at positions 524 to 776 of the family's 1533-position model. The record is from RNAcentral.